AUUGAACGCUGGCGGAAUGCUUUACACAUGCAAGUCGAACGGUAGAGGGGGCAACCCCUCGAGAGUGGCGAACGGGUGAGUAAUAUAUCGGAACGUGCCCAGUCGUGGGGGAUAACGUAGCGAAAGUUACGCUAAUACCGCAUACGAUCUAAGGAUGAAAGCGGGGGAUCGCAAGACCUCGCGCGAUUGGAGCGGCCGAUAUCAGAUUAGGUAGUUGGUGGGGUAAAGGCCCACCAAGCCGACGAUCUGUAGCUGGUCUGAGAGGACGACCAGCCACACUGGGACUGGGACACGGCCCAGACUCCUACGGGAGGCAGCAGUGGGGAAUUUUGGACAAUGGGCGCAAGCCUGAUCCAGCAAUGCCGCGUGCAGGAUGAAGGCCUUCGGGUUGUAAACUGCUUUUGUACGGAGCGAAACGGUGAGCUCUAAUACAGUUUGCUAAUGACGGUACCGUAAGAAUAAGCACCGGCUAACUACGUGCCAGCCGCCGCCGUAA
This 496-nucleotide ribosomal RNA is filed under the name uncultured bacterium. RNAcentral describes it as "partial 16S ribosomal RNA". It matches the Rfam family "Bacterial small subunit ribosomal RNA", at positions 30 to 523 of the family's 1533-position model. The record is from RNAcentral.